GUGCACAAGUAGUGCACCGCCUACUUGGUAAUGUCGCCCUCUAGUGGAGAUAAAAAGGCUUCCAGCAGCUUGUCAGUGUGUCAGCUGGUGUUUUUGUUCCCACUCUGUGUUUCCUGUCACUGUUUGUUUCAUUAGUUUCUUCCAGGCUGGAAUAAUGUCAUUCAUUAUCAUCAGCUUGAUCCAAAUAGCUCUGUAAAAAUCCUCCAGCUGAUUCAAAAUGCUGCAGAGAGAGCAAUGAUGGGAAUCAGCCAGAGAGAUCAUAUUACUCCACUUUAAACUUCUCUUCUUUAGCUCCCUGUAAAAUCCAGAAUAGAAUUUAAAUCCUCCUCCUUCCAUCCAAGGCCCUUAAAGGCGUCGCUCCAUCUGAUCUCAGACCUCAUAGAACCAUAUCAGCCCAGGAAAGUUCUAUCUUCCUGCUGGUUCCUAGAGGUUCUAAAAGUAGAAUGGGAGGUAGAACCUUCAGCUAUCAGGCUCCUCUCCUGUGGAACCAGCUCCCAGUUUGGGUUCUGGAGGCAGACACAGUCUCUACGUUUAAGGUCAGGACUAAGACUUUCCUUUUAGACAAAGCUUAUAGUUAGAGCUGGACUUAACCAUCCCUUAGUGAUGCUGCUAUAGGCCGAGGCUGCAGGGGGACGAUGCACUGAGGACUGAAUUGAAUUGAAUUAUCAUUCGACCUGGGUAAGUUAUAUACGCUGUGGUGAAAUCUUCAUGUGGUAAUUACUGGCACCGUUAGUGGCGUUAUUCAUCUGUUAGACGCUUAUCAGCGUACUUUGUUUAUCAGGAAUGUGUAUUAUCGAUCGUGUUAUUAUGUUGAUAUUUCUUUAUUGAAAUUAAUAUUAUAUACAGUAUGUUCGCUGCCGUAUUUUCUGUUUAAAAAGUAUACAUAUCAUUCAUUUCAGUUCAUGUUUCUCUUUAAUUAUUCUAUGUAGAAACCAUAAUCAACAAGCAUCAGAAAAUAAACGAGUGCAUGGUCGUCAAAGAGUGAGGUCAUCAUUAGCAUCAUCAGAUGCCAUUCUGGUCACACCUGUUCACACCCUGUGGAGAUUGUAGAUAUAUAGAAUCAUAACAGUCCAUCACUUCAUUCAGAGAUCUUAUUCCAGUACCUCCUUUACACUACCUGAUAACAAAGCUGUUCAAAACACUUCCUGUUGUUUCAAACCAUAUCACAUCUUGUCUUUGCUGUAAUCAACAUGGCCAAUAUACGGCUGUAUUCUGGUUAUCUGCUUAAAUGAAUAGUUUGAAUGUACAUUGACAUAUGAGCUGAGAGUUGAACUAUACAACACAGGAAGGAGGAAGUGUGAACAUGAUGCUGCUGCAGUUUUCUGAGUUGAGUUGGGCCACCUCCAUGGUUGCUCAUAUGCACAUGCCCAUACGUUGCCUGAACCAGUCUGAACCAGUUUUAAUGACUUUCUGCUGGACGUGUGCAUCCGUUGGACAGUUUGUGGGUGGAAAAGUGUGGAUUUUAACCUGGUUUGUCACAGGUGUUCAGACACUUGUGGAAGCUGACAAUAGUUUUCUCCAGCAGGUAUAAGCUCAGAGUUUUUACUUUCAUCAGUUUAAAUCAUGUUAGUGAAGUCUGACUUUUUUACUGCAUGUCUGCUGCUGCUAAAUUGCUCAGUAUUGUAACUCCCACAGGUGUCCACUGGAGACCAACGUCAAGGCUGCUGCAGCUUGGGUAUAAAAAUCAUUAUAAUGACACGUGAAGUGAAAGGAACGCAGCAACCAGAAAAGGACAGGAGCAGACACUGAUGAUACUGAGGUUCAGUCUGCAGUCAUUCAUGAUUCUCUCUUUAUCUUUUCUACUUGUUUUUGUUUGUUCAGUAACUUGUUAAACCCUAACGCUGCAGUAUUACAGUAAUGUCCAAUGGUAGAUAGUUUGGCUGCUGGCAUGACACUGUUUGUGUCGUACUGUGGUUGUCACAUAGAAGUUAAUGUUGCAUUUCAUGCUCUGUCAGACAUCAGGCUUUUUAUAUUUCUGCACCUUUUACAGAAUAAGAAAGAAGACUUGGUAAGUAAUAGUAACUGCAGGAAAAAGACAAUAUUUCAGCCCCUUUGUCACUCUUCACACGACAUUGUUGUGUAUUGAUGUGCUGAAGAAAGAAAUGAUCACUGCUGACAAGUCUUCUCUUGCAUUUAAAAAAGCUUUAUUACAAGAAAGAACAUUGUCAAAAACUCUUGCUGAAUCUGAGAGAGCUUCCAGCCAAUCAUUGAAUCCCCUCUUUCAGCUCCAACAGAAGCCCUGUUCCCAAACAAAGAAACCUUAUCUCACGUCUAGUUAGUUUUAUGAGCUGACAUCUGGAAAAUAACCUUUCAACUUUGUCCACGCACCCAAAAACAGGGACAGAAGAGAAAAACAACAAGAAGACCAUAUACUGCAAAUCACCCUCCUCUUCACCAGUUCUACUUCUAAACUAUUGAAUCUCUUCUUAGCUAUUACUUCACUUUUGCUGCUGUUGCUUCAUAUUAUUCAUCUGUUCUUCUUCCUCAGGACACUGACUCUUUGCCACCAGUGUUUCAAGGUGCAUCUGUUUCCAUCCUCUGGGCCCUACAACAUAAUGAACAUGCUGUGUGAGACCAGAUGUGGCACAGCCUGUUAGUAUGUAUAAGACUGAGUUGUCUUUACUGGAAUUGAAAGAAAAAGAGUCCAGAACAAUAUACUUUUUCUUUUUUUUCUUUUUUAACCUGUGUUGGAUCUCCAAUUCUCAAAAAAGAAAAAGAAAAAAAUCAGUGCAACAAUGGAACAUGAUACAUUUUCAUACUGGCAAGUGUUUCUAUUCCUUAAAAUACACACUGAUGCCAAACGUGCACAGGAAACCACGUACUUGAUGUCACGACCAGACAAGGACACAGGACACAGAUGCAGGAAAUGGUUUAAACAGUUUAAACAGUUUUUAAUAAGGUUCAGGUACAAAAACUCAAGGCAAGGAAGAUAAAGUCAGCUCUAAAAAACUGCCUCUGAAAAACCACUUCUAGGAAAAUCUAAACUAAAAAUCUAACUAAACUAAAGUAAAAGGGCCGAAGUCAAUAACAAGGAAAUAUACAUGAAAAAACUUACAGAAGGAAGAACUCUCUUUAGAAUCAUAACAGGGCACCAUCCAAAUAGCAACCCUAGCAAGGCUAAGGUGAACACACAAGACUAACACGAACACUCUGGCACAAGACAAGGGAGUCCCAGACUAUUUGAACACAUGGAGGUGAUGGGGAACGGGUGGAAGUAACCAGGGAUCAGGGAAGACGAUCAGACCGGUGACACAUGAGGAAGGACAAGUGACCUGAAACAAGAGGAGAGUUACUCUUCAUAAUAAAACAGGAAGUGACGAGACAAAACAUGGAGAAAGGACAAAAACCCAAGAUGACCUCACCGCGGUGUGACACUCGGUUUGUUUGUUUUUUACAAAUAUGGCAUUAAUCAAGAAUAAUUGUGUUCGGGGAAUCUAGGAGUAUAUGACACUAAAGGAAUAAUUCUAAGUUUAUUCAAAAAAAAAUAAAAAAAUCUAAAAAAAAUGCAUUUGGUGAAGAUAGAAAUACAUGGAAUUCAAUCAAGAGGUUCUUUAUUAGCCUCACAGUAUUAUCCUCACAAGGAGAACAAGAAGAUCAAGUUGGUAGAACUCUUGACAAAACUUAAAAAUCUUAGUUCAGUCAACAACAGCGAAAGUUGAGAAAACUCAAAUCUCUUGCAUCAUGUUGCUUUGAAUUUUUACAUUUUCUCAAUGUUUUCUUUUGUCCUACAUGAAGGUAGAACAAUCUCCAUAUUUAUGUGGUGAAAACAAAGGAGAUGGUGGUGGACUUCAGGAGAGGUGACCACAUUCACUCUCCCCUUCACAUUAAGGGAGAAGCUGUAGAGCCUCUUUCCAGGAGCUGAGAGACUCAUGAACAAUAUGACAAAGACCAUCUACUGCUCUAUGCUCUUUCUUUAUAUCUGUCUUUAUAUUUUAUAUUCUUUAUGUUUGUGUGCUCCUGAACCAGAGAAACUAGUAGUGUUUGUAUGUGAAUCAUUUGACAAUGACAAUAAAGAACCUUGAACACCUGA
Molecule: long non-coding RNA, 4030 nt
Organism: Mugil cephalus (flathead mullet)
Lineage: Eukaryota; Metazoa; Chordata; Actinopteri; Mugiliformes; Mugilidae
Exons: 2
Source: RefSeq, a predicted model, not a curated record